AAGGAAUCAGGAGGCAGAGCACAUGGUUAAAGCAUGAGAUGUGAAACCAGGAAGAACCAGGUCUGAAUCUUAGCUCCACCAGUGGUAGCUCCAAACCUUAGUCCUUUCUGAGCCUGCUUCUUCAACCCUAAGGGAACACUACACUUCCUUAAAAAUUAAGAGUGUGUGCUACACUGCUUUACUAGAGCAAGACCAAAAGCAGCUUCAAUUAUGGUACAACUGUGUGAAGACACAAUGCAAAACCACUCAAGAAUGCUCACUCAAAUGGAUCUUUUACGAUGGAAUUCGGAAACGGGACCCAGAAAGUUGUUUCCUGCAAGUGGCUGGAACAACACAAGCAAUAACUGCAGAUUACUAACAAGAUCAAAGAUGGUAGUAUAUCUCUGGUUUAUAGAAGAAAUUUACAUUUCUCUAGAAGCUUUUGAUAAACUUAACAAUUCAAAAGAAA
RNAcentral lists this non-coding RNA (448 nucleotides) under Pongo abelii (Sumatran orangutan). Lineage: Eukaryota; Metazoa; Chordata; Mammalia; Primates; Hominidae. The record is from RNAcentral.